CUCCGUAGGUGCCCUGCGGAGGGAUCAUUAC
Molecule: ribosomal RNA, 31 nt
Filed under: Teratosphaeria readeriellophora
Lineage: Eukaryota; Fungi; Ascomycota; Dothideomycetes; Mycosphaerellales; Teratosphaeriaceae
Description: partial 18S ribosomal RNA
Source: RNAcentral